Molecule: ribosomal RNA, 465 nt
Filed under: uncultured bacterium
Lineage: Bacteria
Description: partial 16S ribosomal RNA
Rfam family: Bacterial small subunit ribosomal RNA
Source: RNAcentral
ACGAACGCUGGCGGCGCGCCUAACCCAUGCCAGUCGAACGAGCGAGAGAGAGCUUGCUUUCUCGAGCGAGUGGCGAACGGGUGAGUAACGCGUGAGGAACCUGCCUCAAAGAGGGGGACAACAGUUGGAAACGACUGCUAAUACCGCAUAAGCCCACGACCCGGCAUCGGGUAGAGGGAAAAGGAGCAAUCCGCUUUGAGAUGGCCUCGCGUCCGAUUAGCUAGUUGGUGAGGUAACGGCCCACCAAGGCGACGAUCGGUAGCCGGACUGAGAGGUUGAACGGCCACAUUGGGACUGAGACACGGCCCAGACUCCUACGGGAGGCAGCAGUGGGGAAUAAUGCACAAUGGGGGAAACCCUGAUGCAGCGACGCCGCGUGGAGGAAGAAGGUCUUCGGAUUGUAAACUCCUGUUGUUGAGGAAGAUAAUGACGGUACUCAACAAGGAAGUGACGGCUAACUACGUG